This 373-nucleotide ribosomal RNA is filed under the name uncultured bacterium. Its description in RNAcentral is "bacterial SSU rRNA". It matches the Rfam family "Bacterial small subunit ribosomal RNA", at positions 523 to 898 of the family's 1533-position model. The record is from RNAcentral.
AUACGGAGGGUGCGAGCGUUAUUCGGAAUUAUUGGGUUUAAAGGGUGCGUAGGCUGUUUUUCAAGUCAGCGGUGAAAUUUCCGGGCUCAACCCGGAGUGUGCCGUUGAUACUGUUAAGCUAGAAUAUGGUUGCUGUGAGUGGAAUGUGUAGUGUAGCGGUGAAAUGCUUAGAUAUUACACAGAACGUCUAUUGCGAAGGCAUCUCACAAAGUCAUUAUUGACGCUGAUUCACGAAAGUGUGGGGAUCAAACAGGAUUAGAUACCCUGGUAGUCCACACUGUAAACUAUGAUAACUAGCUGUCGGCGAUACACUGUCGGUGGCCCAGCGAAAGCGAUAAGUUAUCCACCUGGGGAGUACGACCGCAAGGUUGAA